GAUGAACGCUGGCGGCGUGCAUAACACAUUCAAGUCGAACGGUGACGAGGACUUCGGUCCUCUGAUCAGUGGCGGACGGGUGAGUAACGCGUGAGCAACUGCCCUAUAUUGCGGGAUAACAACCGGAAACAGUUGCUAAUACCGCAUGACGUAUUCGGAUCGCAUGUUCUGAAUACCAAAGUAAUUUUGAUAUAGGAUGGGCUCGCGUCCGAUUAGAUAGUUGGUGGGGUAACGGCCUACCAAGUCGACGAUCGGUAGCCGAACUGAGAGGUUGAUCGGCCGCAUUGGGACUGAGACACGGCCCAGACUCCUACGGGGAGGCAGCAGUGGGGGAUAUUGCACAAUGGAGGAAACUCUGAUGCAGCAACGCCGCGUGAGGGAAGACGGUCUUCGGAUUGUAAACCUAAGUUAUCAGGGACGAUUAUGACGGUACCUGAAGAGAAAGCUCCGGCUAACUACGUG
This 462-nucleotide ribosomal RNA is filed under the name uncultured bacterium. RNAcentral describes it as "bacterial SSU rRNA". It matches the Rfam family "Bacterial small subunit ribosomal RNA", at positions 28 to 507 of the family's 1533-position model. The record is from RNAcentral.